CCCCCCCCCCCAAGAAUCCUCUAUUAAUCCCGUCAAAGUUCUGCACUCGAGGUCGUCGGUGUCCGGUCUGUCGAGUUCGUCAACUGUAGCUUUGGCCUGGAGUCUUUUCUUUUCAUUGCUUCAAAAACACAGUGCAACUAUAAAGGUUCAAUUCUAAACUUUAUUUGCUCUUUGAUUUCCAGAUCUGUUCCUCUUGAUAUUAUGAAUGGACUAUUUGUUUGUUUGUUCCUUACUUUUCAUUCUGAAUUGAAAUUGUCUCUGUUUGAUUAGUACAUCAUUUAGUUACGUAUUUCUUUGGUUAAAAGUAGAUUUUAAGUUGUUUAUCUUGGUCAAUCGUUUAGGAAAGGUCCAUUAAGCUCAAUUUGAUCCAGGUUGUGUAGUGUUAGGUGGAAUCUAGUUACAAAAAGUGAUUGGAUGGUUAUUUCAUUAAUUAAGUUUAAUCAAAAGGGUUGUAGGAUUGGAAAUUGAAAGAAAGCAGAACUGGGUUUAAUUGCUCGUGAUUGCUGCAUUUCUAUAAUUUUAUAUUGAAUUGUUCUUUUGGUGAUGCUACUGGAUUGAGAAUGUAGUUGUAUAGGUUUUGAAUUUGUUUUAUUAAAAAAAUCGAAUUUGAUCUAAAUAGCAGAUUGGAAAUGUUUUUUUUUUAUAGUAAUGUGAGCUUUGGAUUGUUUUUGUACUUUACUUUUGCUUCUCUAGGAGCAUAUUUAAGCUAACCGCACGUGGGUAUGCAAACUUUUAGGCACGUAAAUAAAUCAUCGUGACUAUGAGAACGGUUCCCAUGAUAUGGUCACGAUACGUAAAUCUCAAUUCGGGUGUGCAUUUCAUGUGACCCGAUCAUAAUUUCGAAUAAUAAUAAAAUUAAACAUGUUGUAGAUCGUGGGUACGGUUCCCGUGACGCGAUUCACAAGGUGUACCAAACAAACGAGUGUGCGACAUCGCGACUUGUUCCAACCAAUUCCAUAAAUAAUUAAAAGCGGUUUAAAAGGUUAAAAAUACACAAUAGUUUUAAAGCUUGUGUUAAAUCAGAUAAUUAGGCCAAUUAUUAAUAGUUGAGCGACCGUGCUAAAACCACGGAACCCGAGAAUGCCUAACACCUUCUCCCUGGUUAACAGAAUUCCUUAUCCGGAUUUCUGUAUUUCGCGGAUUGUAAAACGGAGUCAAACUUCCUCGAUUCGAGAUUUUUAAACCGGUGACUUGGGACACCAUAAAUUAUCCCUAGUGGCGACUCUGAAUCUAAAUAUAAAUAAUCCUGUUUCGAUCAACGUCACUUUAAUUAUAAAAACUCCAUAUCCCUUCCAAGAAAAAGAAGGUGUGACAGCCACACACAUCUCAGUUAUGCCCUAAGGGAGCUUACAUAUAUGGUUUAAGAGAAGGACGGGAUAUCAGGGUCUGACUGGGGUUAGAGUAACCCAAAAUGGUAAAUGGAUUGUUUGCUAGUUGACAUUUUCGAAGAAUAUUAAAAAUGUGCUAAUAGAUCUCCUUGUGAGACACACUCUAAAAUAGUGCAGCUAGAUAUGAGUACUACAAAGAUAGGCACUAGAAGCCUUGAAGGGAUACAUAUUACCUUAGUGUGGCUCCCGUCCCUAGUAGAGAAAGAAUGUUAGGUAACCCGAAGAGCCAAUAGAUAUAGCAAUGGGAGCUAAAAGCAAAUAAUGUCUUGUUAAAGUUUUCAAGAUAAAGUGAUAGACAGAAAUAUUAGUUGUUCUAUUUUAGAAGGUGUCAUCGGAAAUUCAGUCUCGCAGAUAUGAUAUCGUGAUCCUUGAGAAAUAUUCAGAUAGGAGUUGGGGUAGUUAAAUGUGCCGUAUAAGUGUUACGAAAAUAAAAGAGAGUGUCACUAGGAAGACAGUCAAAAUAUCAGUUCAGAAGUAACCUUACAAGCACAAGGGCGUGAAGGUAAGUAAUUAUGGAUAAUUACAGGUGAGGAAGGACAUCAAAAAUUCCGUCGAGUAUACGAUGUAGUAAGUUCGCAGCUUUACAAGAGUCAGGGGGUCCUCCCUAAAUUCUAAAAUGAAAGACUAGCUGAGAAAAUAAGGAAGAAAGCUUCAAUCUAAAUAUGGUAACUCGAAGGAGAAAUGGUCAUGUCAAAAAACAAUCUCACUACAACAUUGUAUGCACUCUAUAAGAAAGUGGCACCUACCGUGGCUAAUGAACGGGAAGUAAAGUCAAAAGUAAUAUUCGAGAUGAUAUGAGUUGCACAAAAAUUCCGGAAUGUGUGGGAACUAAGAUAAACUAGGUAUGCACGCAACAAGGGGCAGAAAGACCGGGAAAACUAAUAACUUGCAUUUAAAGAAAGUUGAGAAGGAACGAAAGGGAUUAUUCGAUCAAUGAUCCAGAGUAAGUUACAUUAUGAGCGCACUUAAGAUUUCAGAAUAUUAUCCAUGCAACAUAUAUAUUGACAAUCAUACAACCGUAGAAGACUCCAUUAUAAGUUAAAAGAAAGAACUGAGUCCAGGUCAUAGACAAAGGAUUGAAUUGUUAGAAGAUUGUAUCCUGGAUAUUCCAUAGCGUCCAUGAAAGGCUAAAGCAAUAACUAAUACCAUGAGCCGCAGAUCGGAAGAUAGCUUAAGCCUACAUAAAGGUUGAUCAUAGGGAAGAGGAAACUAAAGAGUUACAUCAACCAAGUAAAUCAGGAGUCUGACUAUUGGACUUAGAAAAUUAUAGAAAUCAUAAUUGAGAACAUUGCAGGAUCACCCUUAAUAUCAGAGAUACAAGAGAGAUAGUACAGUAGCCAUAUUCUAUAAUGUCUCUACGAUAAAUCCAGUUAGAAAUGUACUAGACUCAUAAGAAGUCAGUAUGAAGCUCCCACCGGAUUGUAUAUGUAUCAGAGGUGCAAGUAUUAUAAUAGAGUUUUAGUUAUGGAUGUGAAAUAUACUUAUAUGGAAGGGGGGUCAUGAAAGAGAUAGAAGAUGUGAUGCAAGAUUUUAAGGUAAGUAAGGUAAAGGUGAACAACAUAAGAGACACUCAAAUCCAGAAGGUUGUACAUAGUCCAUACUACGGAUAGAAGGCUAGAAGCGCGGGGAUUCAGUAUCCAGGAAUGAUAGCGGCGGCGUCAGUGGUAUAUCUUCCAGCCUAUGAUUUUUAAGUACCAAGAGAUCUAGUCAAGAAAGUAAAGAAGAGUUAGAGACGAUGUGAUGUCUCGCUUGAUGUUCCAAAAUAUCACAAGGAAAUCUAUGGUGCAAGCAAGUUGAAGGAAGCUUGCGAGUAGGAUAAAUGGAUAUAUGUAUAUCGUAAGCUAAAAUAUGGUAGAGCGAAAAGGUUUUAGGAAGACAUGAGUAAGAAUAAGAAAAGGCGAGUGAGAAGGUGAGUAAAAUAGAUAAACUCCUCAGGAUUAAGCCCAUGAAAACAAUAGAGCUAAUUGUUUCUUUAAGUUACAGAAAGCUCAGUAUGGCCUGAAUGAACUCAAAGGAGUCUAAGACUAGUAGCAUUGAGAAGAGAUAGAAUGUUGUCCUGGUAGAAGAAUGAGGGUGUAAUUGUAAUAGAUAAAGGAUGACCUUUGAGCCUUCGAUUAAGUAAUGAAUUGAAUAAAAAAAGAGGAUUUCAUGAAUUGUAUGGGAUUAAAAUACCCACGUAAGGUGAAUCACAUUGGGAUGCUAUGAAAUGCGGUUAUGAAAGUAUAGUAUCGCCCCCAGGUGAAUCAGGAAAAUCACUUCUAAUAUUCCUCAAUGCAACGUGAGCCCUAGCGAUUAUGUAAGAGGCUUCAAGUUAUCAGUGGUAGAGAUAAAUAUUUAGGUGGAUCAACAAUGGAUGGAUAAAAGUUACAAAGUAUAAGAUGAGAUUAGGCUAUCAGUCUUAAGAUGAACAACAAUGAAGAAGCGUUAAAGGACUUAGAUUUAUACAUGUAGGAUAGCAACGAGAGUAACCUGGAGUUUGGUAGCAGACCUCAGUAACAAUAAAUCAAAGUAAGAGUUAUGGUAUAGUAUGACAUACCUAGAUGCAGUAAAUUCAUACGAAUGGAUAACCGGGUUUAUGAAGUAAGAUAUAGCAAUAUUCGUAAGUUCAACAAAGUACUGAGCGAAGAACUUCAGUAUACCUAUAGAUGCCCAAAGGGACAUCUUGUCAAGCUCUGUAUAUGUUUACAAAGUAAGGCCUAGAAAUUGGAUAAAAGCUGGAGGAAAAAAGAAAGAAGAGUCACUUAGGCGCACUUACAAGGAAAAAGUCGUACAGGCUGUAUGACAGAAGGUAGCAACGGUUACGAGAUUGGAAGAAUUCCGACCACAGUUCAUGGUGUGAGGAAGAGGCCUAAAGGUGGAAAUUCCCUAGACUUUAGAUUUAUUCACAGAACAGUUGCCUAAUGACAAAGACAGUAUUAAAGUCAUUUGUAAGAGCUAUCCAGUUAUGAGACCGAUAAAUGCAUUAGUCAACAUUCGAGGACGAAUGUUCCAAAGGGGGAAAUUGUUACGCCCCGCAGUAUUACGUCGAUGUUAUGCUCUGCAGUAUAUAUUACGAUGAUGUUACCCUCUGCAGUAAUAUAUUACGAUGAUGUUUUGCAGUAUUAAGUUACGACAAUAUUGCACCCAAUAGUAUUACAUUACGGUGAUGUCACGUUUCGCAGUAUUAAGUUACGACUAUGUUGGCACCCUGAAGUAUUGUNNNNNNNNNNNNNNNNNNNNNNNNNAUGGGAUAUGGGAAAUGUUAUGGCAUUAUACAUACACCACCACUCGAUCAGCUGGUAUACGUUGAUGAUUUUGCCCAUAGUGGCCGAUAUGAUAUGAUGGAAUGCCCUCAGAGGCUGAUGAUGUUAUGAAACAUGUACCUAUGCACUACAUGACAUUCAUACGCAUAUGCAUGAUACUAUAAUUAUUUCAUGAUUUACAAAGUUAUUCAAACUUACAAGUUGAGUCAUGUACUCCAUAUUUCUUCCAUGUCUGUUAUGUACUUAUUUAUGUACCUUAUAUACUCGGUAUAUUUUUUGUACUGACGUCCCUUUUGCCUGGGGACGCUGCAUUUCAUGCCCGCGGGUCCCGAUAGAGAGGUCGAGAGUCCUCCAAGUAGGCUAUCAGCUCAGUGGAAGAUGUUGGUGUGCUCUAUUUGCUUCGGAGUUGCUUGUUUGGUUAGUAUGAUUUAGACGUGUAUUGUUUGGUAUGACGGGACUCUGUCCCGACCUUUAUGACAUUUAUUUACUCUUAGAGGCUUGUAAACAUAUUUCGUGUACGUGAAAGAUUGUACAAUCUUGUCGCCCUAUGUUUUGAGUUUAUAAAGGAUCAUGUUGGCCUAUUAGGCUCGUAUGUCACGUGUAUAUGAUGAUGUAAUAAGAAAGAUACAUUAUGUUGGUACUCGGCUGAGUAAGGUACUGGGUGCCCAUCGCGGCCCAUCGGUUUGGGUCGUGACUGGAAUGAUGUUACGCCCCGCAGUAUUACGUGGAUGAUAUGCUCCGAAGUAUUAUAUUAUGACGAUGUUACACUCUA
Molecule: long non-coding RNA, 5402 nt
Filed under: Nicotiana tabacum (common tobacco)
Lineage: Eukaryota; Viridiplantae; Streptophyta; Magnoliopsida; Solanales; Solanaceae
Description: long non-coding RNA (NTAB_LNC005154)
Source: RNAcentral